Molecule: ribosomal RNA, 825 nt
Filed under: Acacicis minor
Lineage: Eukaryota; Metazoa; Arthropoda; Insecta; Coleoptera; Curculionidae
Description: eukaryotic LSU rRNA
Rfam family: Eukaryotic large subunit ribosomal RNA
Source: RNAcentral
CGUUUAGGGGUAAACCUGAGAAACCCGAAAUGUCGAAGGGAGGAAUUCAUUCGCGUUUCGUCUACGGCAUUUAAUGGGAUCUUGUGUGACAGAGAAGGACAUAGCGUCUCGUACGUUUGACUUUUUUGCGCCUCCUGUUAAUUGAUCUGCAAACGAACGCGUGCACUUUCCUCUUUGUAGGACGUCGCGAUCCGUUGAUUGUCGGUCUACGACUAGUGGUGGAGACCAUUUGUAUAUAAUUUAUUUUGUAUGCGAAUGAACCCAUUAGACUCUGACCGAUUUAUGCAUUUUAUAUGCUAAUCGACGGUAUAAAUAGAAAAGGUUGUGGGCCGCUAUUAAAAGCGUUCGACUUAUUACAAGCAUAUUAGUUGUUUGGUGAUUGGACCUUGUGCUCAAUCCCGGCAACUAGUUACUGUUGGUAAUAAUGUUCUUGGACAGACCCAUUUUUAACCGAUCUGCGACGCUAUAGCUUUGGGUAGUUUCAGGACCCGUCUUGAAACACGGACCAAGGAGUCUAGCAUUUACGCUAGUCAUUGGGAUAUAAUAAUUAAACCUAAAGGCAAAAUGAAAGUAAAAGUCUUCUUUGAAGACCUAGGGAGGAUGUGCAAAUAUGUAUUUAUAUAUGUUUGUGCCGCACUCCCGGGGCGUCUCAAUCUCAUUGUGAGAUGAGGCGCACCAAGAGCGUACACGCUGGGACCCGAAAGAUGGUGAACUAUGCCUGGUCAGGACGAAGUCAGGGGAAACCCUGAUGGAGGUCCGUAGCGAUUCUGACGUGCAAAUCGAUCGUCGGAACUGGGUAUAGGGGCGAAAGACUAAUCGAACAUC